This 403-nucleotide ribosomal RNA is filed under the name uncultured Methanolinea sp. RNAcentral describes it as "bacterial SSU rRNA". It matches the Rfam family "Archaeal small subunit ribosomal RNA", at positions 936 to 1338 of the family's 1478-position model. Lineage: Archaea; Methanobacteriati; Methanobacteriota; Methanomicrobia; Methanomicrobiales; Methanoregulaceae. The record is from RNAcentral.
GAGACAGCUGGAUGAUAGCCGGGCUGAAGACUCUGCUUGACUAGCUGAGAGGAGGUGCAUGGCCGUCGUCAGUUCGUACUGUGAAGCAUCCUGUUAAGUCAGGCAACGAGCGAGACCCACGCCAACAGUUGCCAGCAUGUCCUCCGGGAUGAUGGGGACACUGUUGGGACCGCCUCUGCUAAAGAGGAGGAAGGAAUGGGCAACGGUAGGUCAGCAUGCCCCGAAUUAUCCGGGCUACACGCGGGCUACAAUGGUCAGGACAAUGGGUAUCGACACCGAGAGGUGGAGGCAAUCUCCUAAACCUGUCCUUAGUUCGGAUUGUGGGCUGCAACUCGCCCACAUGAAGCUGGAAUCCGUAGUAAUCGCGUUUCAAAAUAGCGCGGUGAAUAUGUCCCUGCUCCUU